Molecule: ribosomal RNA, 249 nt
Filed under: uncultured bacterium
Lineage: Bacteria
Description: partial 16S ribosomal RNA
Rfam family: Bacterial small subunit ribosomal RNA
Source: RNAcentral
UACGUAGGGGGCGAGCGUUGUCCGGAGUUACUGGGCGUAAAGCGCGCGCAGGCGGUCCUUUAAGUCUGAUGUGAAAGCCCACGGCUCAACCGUGGAGGGUCAUUGGAAACUGGGGGACUUGAGUGCAGGAGAGAAGAGUGGAAUUCCACGUGUAGCGGUGAAAUGCGCAGAUAUCAGGAGGAACACCGGUGCGAAGGCGGUCUCUGGGCAACAACGUGACGCUGAGAGCGAAGCGUGGGAGCGAACAGG